This 468-nucleotide ribosomal RNA is filed under the name uncultured bacterium. Its description in RNAcentral is "partial 16S ribosomal RNA". It matches the Rfam family "Bacterial small subunit ribosomal RNA", at positions 28 to 507 of the family's 1533-position model. The record is from RNAcentral.
GACGAACGCUGGCGGCGUGCUUAACACAUGCCAGUCGAACGGAAAGGCCCUGCUUUUGUGGGGUGCUCGAGUGGCGAACGGGUGAGUAACACGUGAGUAACCUGCCCUUGACUUUGGGAUGACUUCAGGAAACUGGGGCUAAUACCGGAUAGGAGCUCCUGCUGCAUGGUGGGGGUUGGAAAGUUUCGGCGGUUGGGGAUGGACUCGCGGCUUAUCAGCUUGUUGGUGGGGUAGUGGCUUACCAAGGCUUUGACGGGUAGCCGGCCUGAGAGGGUGACCGGCCACAUUGGGACUGAGAUACGGCCCAGACUCCUACGGGAGGCAGCAGUGGGGAAUAAUGCACAAUGGGCGGAAGCCUGAUGCAGCAACGCCGCGUGCGGGAUGACGGCCUUCGGGUUGUAAACCGCUUUCGCCUGUGACGAAGCGUGAGUGACGGUAAUGGGUAAAGAAGCACCGGCUAACUACGUG